Gasterosteus aculeatus aculeatus (three-spined stickleback) is the source of this 287-nucleotide long non-coding RNA. Lineage: Eukaryota; Metazoa; Chordata; Actinopteri; Perciformes; Gasterosteidae. The record is from Ensembl.
GCAUUCAUUUCUAAAUAUAAAAUAAUUUGAAUUUUUUGAUAAAGUUUGUGGAAUGUCUGUUCCUGUUUCAACAGGACAAUCCUCACUCCUCGUUUUUUUUUUUAGAACUGGGCCGUACGGAGCUCAGACUUCAACCCAAUCCAAAACGUCCGUCUACGAGCCUUCAUCGCACAACUUCGGUGACCGGCCAACAUGUACGGCAAUGUGGCUUUAUUCUCAACGCUGAUAUGUUAGCGUCAGUAAACUGUUGAUGGCAGAUCUGGAGCACCUGGGAGCGGUGAGCCAAU